This 644-nucleotide long non-coding RNA is filed under the name Sus scrofa (pig). RNAcentral describes it as "lncRNA (ENSSSCG00065028792.1)". Lineage: Eukaryota; Metazoa; Chordata; Mammalia; Artiodactyla; Suidae. The record is from RNAcentral.
GGCUCGCUCCCGAGGGGCGUCCGGGCCGGGCACCGCCGCUGCAGUGCUAGUUUCUGGCAGAAACACCGGUGAUCCCCAGAAAUAUGCAGGGGCUGCAGAAGGCCAAGUAGAGUAGACGCCGCGCUCUCACCCACUCCCUAGCCGCCGCCACGCGGGCCCCGUAGACACCGCCCCCCCGCGCCUCCUUCGCCCCUUUCUCCCCGGCAGUUCAGGUUCCAGUCCCGCCGGCUCCGAAGAGCCCCCCCCCGCCCCCGCUCGGUCCUUGCCGCCCUCCCGGAGCGCGCGGCCCCCGGGGCGGCAAAGUUGUGACUACUUGGGCGCUAGUGGCUCGCGCCCCGUUCGCUCCGCGCCCCGCGCCGACAACUUCCCGCGGCUCGGCCCCACCGCGCCCCGGGCCCGCGCCUCCGGGGAUCCCGCGGGCCCCCAGCUUCCAGCCCCGGCGGCGCGCCGGGCAGCGCUUCGGCGGCGGCGGCGGCGGCGGCGGCAGUGGCGGCAGCUAAGGCGGCGGCGGCGGCGGCCCCACACUCAGCCGCCAAACUGGAGGAGCGCCGGAAGCCCGACCCCAGGAGGAUGGAGGAUGAAGCUGUCCUGGACAGAGGGGCUUCCUUCCUUAAGCAUGUGUGUGAUGAAGAAGAAGUAGAAGG